CUACGGGAUGCAGCAGUGGGGAAUAUUGGACAAUGGGGGAAACCCUGAUCCAGCAAUGCCGCGUGUGUGAAGAAGGCCUGCGGGUUGUAAGGCACUUUCGGUUGGGAGGACUGCUUCUAGCACUAAUAUUGUUGGAAGUUGACGUUACCUUCAGAAGAAGCACCGGCUAACUCCGUGCCAGCAGCCGUCGGUAAUACGGAGGGUGCAAGCGUUAAUCGGAAUUACUGGGCGUAAAGCGCGCGUAGGCGGCUAGAUCAGUCGGGUGUGAAAGCCCCGGGCUUAACCUGGGAACUGCAUCCGAUACUGUCUAGCUUGAGUACAGGAGAGGAGAGUGGAAUUCCACAUGUAGCGGUGAAAUGCGUAGAUAUGUGGAGGAACACCAAUGGCGAAGGCAGCUCUCUGGCCUGAUACUGACGCUGAGGUGCGAAAGCGUGGGGAGCAAACAGGAUUAGAUACCCCAGUAGUC
Molecule: ribosomal RNA, 466 nt
Filed under: uncultured bacterium
Lineage: Bacteria
Description: partial 16S ribosomal RNA
Rfam family: Bacterial small subunit ribosomal RNA
Source: RNAcentral